UCCGGUGACAGAACAGCAAAGUCAGCGCAUGGUGGCAGGAAGGACACGUGGCUGGCUCUGGGUCAGCACCAUGUUUUUUAACACAUAACUCAUUCUCUUGCCUCCUCUCUCACCUGCCUCACAAAAUAUGGCCCAGCUGUGGUCUCCCCCUUACUCGAGACAGGUUGGCCAGCGAGUGCAGUGAGGGGAAGUAGACCAUCAACCAGGGGCCAAGCUGGACUCUCGUCAGAGGACCCUGGCCCUACAAGACCAUGCUCCUCUUGGGUCUUCAGGUUAUGGAAGUCAAGCAGGCCAGCCUAUAGUCCUGGCUAGGUCGGGCUCUCCUUGGGCCUGCCAACACGUCCAGUGCCUGGGAGGGAGGAGGCUGUUACUCACAACUGUGUCUGGAAGACCACAACCAGGACGGAGAAGGCGACACCCACUGCCACACCGUAGGGCAGGCUCAGGAAGAAGGAGGAGAGGAAGCUCACCACCCACACGCACUGUGAAAAGAGACAUGUCAAAAGUUGGCCUGGGGAGAAAACUGCCUCUUUCAGGAAGUCUUCCUGGAUUAGCUAAAGCCAUUCUCUGCUAGCACAACCUCAGACCUCCCCGUCCCUUUUUAUUGCAUUUUGGUUCAAAGUUUGGUUGUUUAAUAGCAAUGUGAACCUCAGUUUCCUAAUCCAAAAAGGAAGAAUCGUAACACCUACUUUAUGAAAGGAUUAAAGAGUUAAG
Molecule: long non-coding RNA, 714 nt
Organism: Lemur catta (Ring-tailed lemur)
Lineage: Eukaryota; Metazoa; Chordata; Mammalia; Primates; Lemuridae
Exons: 3
Source: RefSeq, a predicted model, not a curated record